RNAcentral lists this long non-coding RNA (552 nucleotides) under Felis catus (domestic cat). RNAcentral describes it as "lncRNA (ENSFCAG00000050668.1)". The record is from RNAcentral. Lineage: Eukaryota; Metazoa; Chordata; Mammalia; Carnivora; Felidae.
CGCCCUGCGCCCGCUCUCAGGAUCCCUCUCAGCUCUCCAGCUUGCUAAGUCCCCAGGAGAGAGCCAAGCAACGCUUUUGGGAAGGCCUGGAUUUGAAUGGGACUCUAGUGCCCGGGGAGUUGUUUCAUCUGAACGAGGUGACACGCCCACCCGCUGCCCCCGACCCGCCCGCGCCGCCGUGCCCGGGUGGGCAAGGUGAGAGGCGGGGCUCCGGGAAACAUCACCUGGAGGCGGCCAGGGGCGGACUUUCCCAGAGGAGCCCGACUCCGAGGAGGCGACACAAACGAAUUAAUUGCUUCCAUCAACGCCGCGUUUCAAUCCACCCCAAGCACUCCCUCUCCGAGUACUCAGCCCGCCGGGAUCUUCAGAAAAGAGGUUCACCAGAAACUCUUUUUUUCUCCUUCCCACCGGGACAGCGUCCGGUUCCCGCGCUCCUCCUCCCCCACCUGCUCGCCCGGUCGCUCCCCUGCCCCCACCCGGUCUCAGCGGCCAGUAUGCCGUGCCCAGGGACCCCUCACCUGGGCCGGCGGUGGUAGGCUGCCUGCAACGCCC